RNAcentral lists this ribosomal RNA (482 nucleotides) under uncultured bacterium. Its description in RNAcentral is "bacterial SSU rRNA". It matches the Rfam family "Bacterial small subunit ribosomal RNA", at positions 1041 to 1529 of the family's 1533-position model. The record is from RNAcentral.
GUGCAUGGUUGUCGUCAGCUCGUGUCGUGAGAUGUUGGGUUAAGUCCCGCAACGAGCGCAACCCUUACCAUUAGUUGCUACGCAAGAGCACUCUAAUGGGACUGCCGUUGACAAAACGGAGGAAGGUGGGGAUGACGUCAAAUCAUCAUGCCCCUUAUGACCUGGGCGACACACGUACUACAAUGGCGGUCAACAGAGGGAGGCAAAGCCGCGAGGCAGAGCAAACCCCUAAAAGCCGUCUCAGUUCGGAUUGCAGGCUGCAACUCGCCUGCAUGAAGUCGGAAUUGCUAGUAAUCGCGGAUCAGCAUGCCGCGGUGAAUACGUUCCCGGGCCUUGUACACACCGCCCGUCACACCAUGAGAGCCGGUAACACCCGAAGUCAAUAGUCUAACCGCAAGGAGGACAUUGCCGAAGGUGGGAUUGGUAAUUGGGGUGAAGUCGUAACAAGGUAGCCGUAUCGGAAGGUGCGGCUGGAUCACCUC